RNAcentral lists this long non-coding RNA (406 nucleotides) under Androctonus crassicauda. Lineage: Eukaryota; Metazoa; Arthropoda; Arachnida; Scorpiones; Buthidae. The record is from RNAcentral.
UGAUUUUCUUCUUAUAUUUGGAAAAAAGGCUAAAUUAUCUUAGUAACUACAGUAACAUAAAUAUUCAUCAUAAUAUAGUGGUCACCACUUAUUGUAAUCAUGAUUAAGUUCAGAUGGUGUUUCAGACUGCUGGCAAUUCUGUUUGUCGAGCCUGCACGAAGGUGUUUCUGCCAAAUGAAGAUCUUUUGGUUUGUACUGUGAAUGAUUCUCAUAAGUAUCAUCCUACUUGUGUGGGGAUGCCUAUGCAUGUCUAUAGAAAAAUGUCAAGAACUAAUCAAGAGAGUUGGAAAUGUGGUGAUUGUGAAGAAAAUGAAGGUAGUCAGCUUAAGGCUGACAUUCAGUUGUCACAGUUACCUGUGGAGCAAGGUAUGUCUAUAUCAGGGAUAGAGCAAUUAAUAAAAGUGAA